GACGAACGCUGGCGGCGUGCUUAACACAUGCAAGUCGAACGGAAAGGCCUGUCCUUCCUUGUGUUGGACGGGUACUCGAGUGGCGAACGGGUGAGUAACACGUGAGUGAUCUGCCCCCAACUUGGGUAUAAGCCUGGGAAACUGGGUCUAAUUCCCGAUAGGACUGCAGGGUGGUGCCUGUGGUGGAAAACGAUUUUCUAGUGGUUGGGGAUGAGCUCGCGGCCUAUCAGCUUGUUGGUGGGGUAAUGGCCUACCAAGGCGGCGACGGGUAGCCGGCCGGAGAGGGUGGACGGCCACAUUGGGACUGAGAUACGGCCCAGACUCCUACGGGAGGCAGCAGUGGGGAAUAUUACACAAUGGGCGGAAGCCUGAUGCAGCGACGCCGCGUGGGGGAUGACGGCCUUCGGGUUGUAAACUCCUUUCGACCGCGAGGAAGCCGCCUGGUUGGAAGGGUGGUGACGGUAGUGGUAGAAGAAGCACUGGCUAACUACGUG
RNAcentral lists this ribosomal RNA (494 nucleotides) under uncultured bacterium. Its description in RNAcentral is "partial 16S ribosomal RNA". It matches the Rfam family "Bacterial small subunit ribosomal RNA", at positions 28 to 507 of the family's 1533-position model. The record is from RNAcentral.